AGUAUCUGUGUGGGUUUUUGUAUGGACAAAGAUUUUGAGACAGAUGUAAAAAUCUAUAUCAUCCUUUGUAACCCAGAACUCAUUAUUCUAUAUGAGUUCUGAUACAGAUAAGAAGGAACAUG
Sorex fumeus (smoky shrew) is the source of this 122-nucleotide small nucleolar RNA. RefSeq annotates it as small nucleolar RNA SNORA40. The record is from RefSeq and is a predicted model, not a curated record. NCBI's taxonomy places the organism in Eukaryota, Metazoa, Chordata, Mammalia, Eulipotyphla, Soricidae. The transcript has a single exon.